RNAcentral lists this unclassified non-coding RNA (520 nucleotides) under uncultured Glomus. RNAcentral describes it as "SSU rRNA". It matches the Rfam family "Eukaryotic small subunit ribosomal RNA", at positions 569 to 1091 of the family's 1831-position model. Lineage: Eukaryota; Fungi; Glomeromycota; Glomeromycetes; Glomerales; Glomeraceae. The record is from RNAcentral. RNAcentral also lists the same sequence under 1 other name.
AGCAGCCGCGGUAAUUCCAGCUCCAAUAGCGUAUAUUAAAGUUGUUGCAGUUAAAAAGCUCGUAGUUGAAUUUCGGGAUCAAUACGUCGGUCGUGCUUCGGUACGUACUGGCGUAAUUGAUUUCUCCCUUCUGACGAACCAUGAUGUCAUUAACUUGGUGUCAUGGGAAAUCAGGACUGUUACUUUGAAAAAAUUAGAGUGUUUAAAGCAGGCUCACGCUUGAAUACAUUAGCAUGGAAUAAUGAAAUAGGACGUUCGAUCCUAUUUUGUUGGUUUUUAGGAUCAACGUAAUGAUUAAUAGGGAUAGUUGGGGGCAUUAGUAUUCAAUUGUCAGAGGUGAAAUUCUUGGAUUUAUUGAAGACUAACUACUGCGAAAGCAUUUGCCAAGGAUGUUUUCAUUAAUCAAGAACGAAAGUUAGGGGAUCGAAGACGAUCAGAUACCGUCGUAGUCUUAACCAUAAACUAUGCCGACUAGGGAUCGGGUGAUGUUAAUUUUUUAAUGACUCAUUCGGCGCCUUAA